Molecule: transfer RNA, 81 nt
Filed under: Bacteroidota bacterium
Lineage: Bacteria; Pseudomonadati; Bacteroidota
Description: Bacteroidetes bacterium (activated sludge metagenome) tRNA-Tyr
Rfam family: tRNA
About the family: Transfer RNA (tRNA) molecules are approximately 80 nucleotides in length. Their secondary structure includes four short double-helical elements and three loops (D, anti-codon, and T loops).
Source: RNAcentral
AAAGAGAUGGCCGAGUGGUUAAAGGCGACAGACUGUAAAUCUGUUAGAUUCAUUCUUUCGCAGGUUCGAAUCCUGCUCUCG